RNAcentral lists this ribosomal RNA (534 nucleotides) under uncultured Alteromonas sp. Its description in RNAcentral is "bacterial SSU rRNA". It matches the Rfam family "Bacterial small subunit ribosomal RNA", at positions 343 to 868 of the family's 1533-position model. Lineage: Bacteria; Pseudomonadati; Pseudomonadota; Gammaproteobacteria; Alteromonadales; Alteromonadaceae. The record is from RNAcentral.
GGGAGGCAGCAGUGGGGAAUAUUGCACAAUGGGGGAAACCCUGAUGCAGCCAUGCCGGGUGUGUGAAGAAGGCCUUCGGGUUGUAAAGCACUUUCAGUUGUGAGGAAAAGUUAGUAGUUAAUACCUGCUAGGGGGUGACGUUAACAACAGAAGAAGCACCGGCUAACUCCGUGCCAGCAGCCGCGGUAAUACGGAGGGUGCGAGCGUUAAUUGGAAUUACUGGGGGUAAAGCGCACGCAGGCGGUUUGUUAAGCUAGAUGUGAAAGCCCCGGGCUCAACCUGGGAUAGUCAUUUAGAACUGGCAGACUAGAGUCUUGGAGAGGGGAGUGGAAUUUCAGGUGUAGCGGUGAAAUGGGUAGAUAUUUGGAGGAACAUCAGUGGGGAAGGGGACUCCCUGGCCAAAGACUGACGCUCAUGUGCGAAAGUGUGGGUAGCGAACAGGAUUAGAUACCCUGGUAGUCCACACCGUAAACGCUGUUUACUAGCUGUUUGUGACUUUAAGUCGUGAGUAGCGAAGCUAACGCGCUAAGUAGA